Molecule: ribosomal RNA, 494 nt
Filed under: uncultured bacterium
Lineage: Bacteria
Description: partial 16S ribosomal RNA
Rfam family: Bacterial small subunit ribosomal RNA
Source: RNAcentral
GACGAACGCUGGCGGCGUGCUUAACACAUGCAAGUCGAACGGUGAAGCGCCUUCCUUUUUGGCGGGGGUGGAUGAGUGGCGAACGGGUGAGUAACACGUGAGUAACCUGCCCCCUUCUUCUGGCUAACCGCAUGAAAGUGUGGCUAAUCCAGGAUUUUCCGCGUCUGUCGCAUGCUGGGUCUGGGAAGGUUAUUGUUUCGGUGGGGGAUGGCCUCGGGGCCGAUCAGCUGGUGGGUGGGGUGGUGGCCUACCAAGGCGGGGACAGGUAGCCGGCCCGAGAGCGUGGCCGGUCACACUGGGAAUGAGACACGGCCAAGACUCGUACGGGAGACAGCCGAGAGUACUACUGGAGACAGGGGUGAAGCAUGAUGCAGCGACGCCGCGUGCGGGAUGGAGGCCUUCGGGGUGUGAAACUCAUUCGUUAGUGAAGCAGGGCUGUCUUGCUUGUGAGUAGGUUGACGGUAGCUGGAGAAGAAGCGCCGGCUAACUACGUG